CCUACGGGCGGCAGCAGUGGGGAAUAUUGCACAAUGGGGGGAACCCUGAUGCAGCGACGCCGCGUGAGUGAAGAAGCAUUUCGGUAUGUAAAGCUCUAUCAGCAGGGACGAAAAUGACGGUAACUGACUAAGAAGCCCCGGCGAACUACGUGCCAGCAGCCGCGGUAAUUCGUAGGGGUCAAGCGUUAUCCGGAUUUACUGGGUGGAAAGGGAGCGUAGGCGGUUAUGUAAGUCUGGAGUGAAAGGCCAAGGCUCAACCAUGGGACUGCUUUGGAAACUGGAAAACUGGAGUGCAGGAGAGGUAAGCGGAAUUCCUAGUGUAGCGGUGAAAUGCGUAGAUAUUAGGAGGAACACCAGUGGCGAAGGCGGCUUACUGGACUGUAACUGACGUUGAGGCUCGAAGGCGUGGGGAGCAAACAGGAUUAGAUACCCCAGUAGUC
Molecule: ribosomal RNA, 440 nt
Filed under: uncultured bacterium
Lineage: Bacteria
Description: partial 16S ribosomal RNA
Rfam family: Bacterial small subunit ribosomal RNA
Source: RNAcentral